ACGGAGGAUGCAAGCGUUAUCCGGAUUCAUUGGGUUUAAAGGGUGCGCAGGCGGAAUGAUAAGUCAGUGGUGAAAUCCUACGGCUCAACUGUAGAACUGCCAUUGAUACUGUUGUUCUUGAGUACACUUGGAGUGGGCGGAAUGUGUCAUGUAGCGGUGAAAUGCUUAGAUAUGACGCGGAACACCGAUCGCGAAGGCAGCUCCCUAAGUUGUAACUGACGCUCAUGCACGAAAGCUAGGGGAUCAAACAG
Molecule: ribosomal RNA, 251 nt
Filed under: uncultured prokaryote
Description: partial 16S rRNA
Rfam family: Bacterial small subunit ribosomal RNA
Source: RNAcentral